Protopterus annectens (West African lungfish) is the source of this 7245-nucleotide long non-coding RNA. RefSeq lists it as uncharacterized. The record is from RefSeq and is a predicted model, not a curated record. The transcript has 2 exons. Lineage: Eukaryota; Metazoa; Chordata; Ceratodontiformes; Protopteridae.
GAGUUUUUGGAAACUCAAAGCUGUGGUCUUGACCAUAUGAAUUUUGAGUUUCCAAAAACUUAAUUAAGUCAUAUAAACCCAUAUAUCUAUAUUAUAUAUGUAUGAAUCUACGGAAAUUGUUCAAAUACCAUUUAUGUCAAUGACUUGAAAAAAAAACACAAAGAAUCAUCCUUUUUAUAUAAAGACAAGCCUCCCUACACCCUCAUACCUCUUGCUAAUUAUAAAUAUUCUGAGAUCUCAUAUUCCACGAGGAUAAUGAUAUAUUCCCCUACCCAGCGAUUGUCAAUUUUGCACACCUGUCAACCAUCUGUUUAGUUAAUAAAAUUGCUAUACAGAUAUCAACCAACAUACCAUUCGACAAACUCACUGGGACCCAUAUUUUUAUAUAUUUAUUUAAAUAGGUAUAGAUAGGUUGAUACAUAUACAAACAUAAACUAUCUUCUCAGCCAAGGCAUUGGAAAGUUUGAAGGGUUGUUUCAAAGGCUGGACCUAUUCUCACAGAUCUAACAUUAUGGUAGUACUUAAAUUUUGUUCUGCUAAGAGUGGGCUCAUCCUGUGUGACUCUUAGGUCAGUUUCUAAAGCUGUUCAUGCUAGUUGGACCCCCUAGGAGAUCUUACUCUUAAUAACAGUGGAAAUGAGAUCCAGCUUUGCAAGUAUAUUCAGAGAAGACCAAAUAGUUGCUGUAGUAAAAGCAUCAAGAGCUACAUUUCUGAAAAAGGCUACCGAGUCAAGCUCUAGUCGAAUAAGAUACAUUAACUCUUGAUUUUCGUGUGCUUAACCCUGCAGUAUUUUAAAUAAUCAGAAAAUCAUCUGCAAAGUAUAUGUCUGGAAACUGUCUCAGAUUGUUAGAGGAGGAAAAACAGCUAGGCACUUUUGCACUUGGACUUGGUUCUGUCCACUUAAUACUCCAAAUUGAUGAUGAGCAUCUCUGCAGCUUAGCAAGUAUUUGUAAUGGUUUCCAAAGGAUGGAAAGAAUACAGAGACUUAUAUGAAAGGUCAGAGUAAUCUCAGUUGCAACUGCAAGCAAACAGGUGAAAAAAGAUGCAUCAGCAUAAAGAGCAUGACUCUCAGAAAUCCUUCUAGUUGAUGACAGUAGCUACCAAGAAGAUUAUAUUCUAUGUAAUGGAUUUUAACUCUGAAUAGUCAGUAGGCUCAAAAGGAGACUGAGCCACCUUUUUUGGGAUAAAGUGAAUGUUGCGAAGAGGCACUGGAGCUCAUAGUGGGAGCCUGAUUCAGAAACUCUUCUUAAGGAAGGAUUUGAAAACUUUCAAAUAAACUGAGAAAUUAUAGUUUUGCCCUUGUGAAAGUUAGAGAUGUGCCAAAUGUACUAUACAGGAGGAGGAGGAGUAACUUAAUGCAGUUUCAAAUAAAUCUAGAUACUCCACUAUGUGGGAAUAUGGCAUAAAAGGGAUCUAGGCCCUUGGAAUAACACCAAAGUGAAAAUAGCAUCCACCUAUCAUUACAAGCUUUCCAAGUGUUGGACUUCUUUAGAAAAGGGAGUGUAUUAUCCACUUUUUUCAAAAUGAGAGGGUUACUAGCAACUACUAAAAGUGGACAAGCUAAGCAGUUAUUCUUAUUAGGGGUACUAUAUAAUUAUCCAUCAUGGGAUGGUUAAGGCAGGUAUACAACCAAAUGGGGUAGGUUAUUUUGAGCACAGAAAAGGGAAAAUGGCUGGGCUUAAAAUUGCCACCAAGGGCAAAUAGUCUAGUACUUACCUAAGAACCAAUGAACUUACAAGAAGGCUGCUUGUCAUGGACUUGAGUAAGGGGGAUAAGUCAAGUACUUUUCAGGGCAAAAUCCAUUACACCUCCACUUUAGGUAUAUUAAUGGCUGCAAGGGGAAUUAAUACAUCCAGACCCUUGAAACACCUCCCGUAUAAAAGAGAAUGAAAGAGGUAAGUCAAAUAUGAUGGUUAACAGAUAUUACAGAGCAAGAACAAAAUAGAAGAGUGAGGAAAGAGACCUCAACACUCACCAAGGCGUCCGGUUUGUGUGCUGUACCUACAGCAACACAAAUAAGAUGGAAAUGAUUUAAUUGUUAGGGAGGAGAAACAAAAAAUAACGUUUUAAAUAUGGAUACAUUUUAAAAAGCAUAUCUUGCAAGACCCCAAUGAUAGUGAAUCAUUGGUACUAAUACACAUAAUAAUACAAUGCAGACACAUAUAUUAAGGCAGAGAAAUAGCCUGUAGAAAUUGCAGAUAAAGGCUAAAAGCAACUGUUGAUUGAAUAUUAAGCAGAGGUACUCAAGCAAAGUGUUACAAGGUAUCUUAUGGUGUCUUCUUUGCUGGUGCAAGUGGUUCUAAAAGAGACCUCUGAAUUAAAAUUAGUCAGUAACAAGCAGGAUAUUCAACUAGAACACAUGUUGGUGGCUCUGAAAGAUCACCAGAUGGAGCUCUUUACACACAACAAAACAGUCAACUAACUGUUUUCCAAAAAAAAAAAAAAAAAAAAAACUAGUAUUCGAUGAGCAUGACAAUGAUAGCAUCUCUAAAUAAUGGGUCUACCAGAGGGGAAGGAAGAAAGUGACUCUUUGUAUUUUGUUAGUUGGAGUUGGCAAAAAGCUAUAAUAUGAAUAGACAACAUAUAAAUGAGAGGGCUUACAGAGUCCUGUCCAAGAAUAAAAUUAACGUACACACCUCCACACUUGAUAAUAGUAACAGAGAACUGAUCUUGAGGAAAUGCAUGCUGCUAACUUUAUUUAGCAGGAGAACCAUUUAGGUAUACCCCCAGACGACAGUUCAAGUUUAAAGACCAUGCAAUAAGAGUUGCAUGCUGCUGUUAAAGAAUCAUAAAAGACAUUUUGAAAGCAAUUAAUAUGAGAGAUGGCAAGGUAUUGACUCCACUCUACAUUGCCCUUAUUAGAUCCCUUUUUUUGUAUAUAAAACAAAACUGGUAUAAAAAAGUUGGAGUGCUCAGUGAACCUUUAUGAUACAAAUUUUUGGUCUUUGUGGGAUGGACUGCAAAGAUAGAUUAAGGGCCUUAAAGCUUUACUCUGUGACUUUUAUAGUUCUGAGGAGUGAUGCUACUAUGAUAUUUAACGGGCAAAUAAUAUUAACUUAACAUCAGUAUAUGAUAUUACAUUUACUUGAACACAGUUUAAAUAUAAGGUAUAAAAAUCCUUUGGUUAUGUUAUAUGGGGCAUCUUCCUGAACGUGUAAACAUAAGGUAUAAAAAUCCUUUGAUUAUGUUACAUGGGGCAUUUUCCUCAAAUUAAACAGUGUCAUUUAUGGGGAGUUGCAAACUGUAGGACCCUUUACCAUUAAAUAUAAUGUUUUCAACUUCUUUAGUUAUCUUUGAGAAGGAAAUGAAUAGGUGGGUUGGUGAGCUGGCUUUUGAGACUACCCUGUGCAGUGACAAACUCCUUGGUGGCCAGAUUUUGUGGUCUUGAGUUGCUUUUACCACAACAUUGAACACUGAACAGCAAGUCACAAUUUAUGAAAAGGAAAACAAUGUAAAAAGCAUAUCAGAAAGCUCAAUAUAUCUUGUCACCUUUACUUCCCAACCAUAAUGAAUACUGAGUUUUGUAGUAUAUGCUAACCCUCUCUGCAAUUUUUUUUGCAUGCUUGAUAUGGAUGAAGGUCUCUUCUUAGAGUUGAUAUAUAUAUAAAACUUUUGCGGUGAUGUGGGAUUUCCCCUCACAUCAGGGGACAGAGGGGGAGCAAGCAAAAAAGAAGUUUAAAGGAGAAGAGCAAUGUUUGAGAUUCACCCUUCUGCAGUUUAGGUCUUUUUUUCGGCUUGUCGACACUUAGCAUUUCAAGAGCCCACAUUUCAGCAGGGAGCCAUGUGUCUGUAUGUAUGUGUGUGUGUGUAAGGGGACAGAAACAAAGAGAGAGUGGGUGAGAAGGGAAUGCCUGCUGUUGUGCCAUGAGGUUAUACUGCCACCUACUUAAACAAGCCGAAGUUGUAAUACUUAAUUUCUUUGAUGCCAUGCACAUAAACACAAUAUAAAGCAAGAAAAAAUCCACUUUCCUAAUCUUGAUUUCAUUAGGAAUUAGUUUUAUUAAUAGAGUUUUAAACACUGUAAUUUUGUUGUUAAUGUGUGAGUUGAAUACUUAUUUUCACACUUGUGCCCUUAUAUUACCAGAUUAUCCAAGCUUAAACUCAUUGUUACUUUACAUUAUUUUAGGACAUCUAAGGUAGCAUGGGGCAUUGUUCACUGGAACUUCUGUUCCAGCAUGUAGACAUUAUUUCAGUUAGUAAACAGACAGCGUUAUUAUUACUGUGUUUGUCUUGUCACUUACUUUAUGCUGUUAAUAUAUGUUUUUCAAGUUUGGAUUUCUGUACAUUAAACAUAUCAACACACAUUAUUAAUGGUUCCACAAAUGGGAUAAAGCUGUAUACUCUUUCUAUUGGUACCUCUCACCAUCUGAGUUUCACAGUGAUGUCUUGCAAUGUAGAAGGCUUAAGCAUAUCUACAAAACAAAAGGCCUGCAUGGAUUCUGUUUCAAGAGGUAAAGCAAACAUUGCUGUUAUUGCAAUAAAAAACAGAAAAAUCUAAUGCAGCACAUUUUUUUAGAAAAUGGAUAGUAUUGGAAGUCUCUCAAUACCUUCCCAAAAAUGUGCUUCUGUUUUAGUGGGUAAGAUCUUAUAAUAGUCACUGGAAUUAUUUAAAUGAAAUUUAGCCGUGAGUUAGAUAGUAGAUGAGGUCUUGUAGUUUUAGGCAGCAUUUAUGGAUUUGACAUAGAAGAACCCCAACCACUAAAUGAUAUGGCAGUGGGUAUUGACAUCCUAGAGGUAUAAGAUGCAUCUCUUCUGAUUUGUAUUGAUUUUAAUGUAACAACAGAUCCAGCAGAAAUUGGAACACAUGGCGGGAGAACUAUGAUUUAUAUAAUUACAGAUGUAUUAUAAGGAUGAUUUAGGAAUCAUGCAUUAGGAGAUACUUGGGGAUCUAUGAACCCUACAACUUAAGAGUAUACAUCUUUAUCAGUGAGUAGCUCUAUAAGUAGACUAGAAUAUAAUUUUAUAAGCCUGGCUAAGGUGCAUAGCAUUUUAUCAGCAGACCAUGAUACUGAUUUCCUUCCAAACUGUAACUUCAUUUUUCUUAAUAUGGAAGACCAAGAAUUUCCCUGCCUACUGCCAUUCUAAAUGUUUGCCAUUCUGCUAGUUAAAAUUGCUAAAGGCAAUGAAUUAAUUUAGUCAGUCAUUCAAUCUUACAGGGAGGGCAAAAAAUGGUACUUACACUUAAAACAUGCGAAAUGGAAGUGUUUCCAAAAUCAUUAAUCAAUCACUGGGUGGAGCAUUGGUGCAGCUGUUAAUAUUGUCACCUCACAGCAAGUGGUUCUCCAGUUCGAUUCUUGGCUGGGUUGUCUUCUGUGCAGAGUCUGCAUAUCCUCCCUGUGUUCGCAUGGGCCUCCAGUGAAAACAGGCUCUGUCCUAGUUGGACUUUCCCAGUCAACAAAUGUUAAAUAAAUUAAUUAAAAGAUUACACAGUUGGAAAGACAAAGUGCAGCAUCUACAUGGGAACAAUUAAGCAAAUGUAAAAUAGAAUCAGUGACCCUGUGAGUCAAUAUAAUGAACCCAAAGGUAACACUAAAUUGAUAUUCAACAACUCAAGAAGGAAUGUAAAAUCUUACAGUGCAAUAGUCAAGACAUCGAAUGAGAAUACUGGAAUCUUUUCCAAAGUGCCAUCAGGACUGCAUCUCCCAAAUGUCUAGUUCACACACUAAGAUAGCAGAAUAUGAAAAUGUCUAUCCUGCCCCUAGGAAAUGGUCAAUGUACCCUCUUCAAACUGAACAUUAAUAACAUCAUGAUGGAAAAGUCUUAUAAUCUUUGCUGUUAAGGACUCUUAUACACAUCUAAAGAAGACAAUCUUUCCUCCAACAGAUACCCCAUCCACAGAAGUUAGUGACAAGACUAUGAUAAUUUUUAAGCCCUUUUGUAUUGGAAGGAAUUCCAAAGUACAUUAAUGGUCUCUCUUCAGGUAAAAUUCCAGAUCCUGACAAUCUUCCAACAAAAUUCUAAAAGGUUUUUAAAUCUCUCCUUUUGUGCCCAUUUUUCAUUUAGUUUAGGUUUUUGGAAAAUCAGGCAAAAUCUGGGUCAACUAACUUACUCAAUGAAACCUGUCCCAAGAAUUUUAGUCAGAUAUCUUCUCAUACUGACUAUUAGCCAAUAUUUUUACUUCAGUUUGAAAUAAAAAAAUUAUGUUAAAAUUCUUACAAAACAAUUAGAAAAGGUAUUUAUAUUGUUUAGUCUAAUCCAAAUCUUCAUCACCUCAAUGACUUUAGCAAGUCAGUCCUGUCCGUCAGUAACUGCCUCCUUAAUUUCUUGCAUGCUCAUGUUCAUUGCUUCAGUAAUAGUGUAAUGCACCUUAGUCUCUGCCACCUCUUUCUUCUUUUGCUUUUGAUCUUUUGCAGCAUUUGCAGCUUCUCUGAUGAAUUCAGUCUAUGCAUUAUGUUGCUAAAGUAUAUGAGUUUUAGCUUUACUAUUAGGCCUUUCCAUGAGCAGUCUGAAUUGAUUUUCAUAUCCAUUGAAUGUUUCAAACAUAUUGCAGUCCAUGAAAUUCUUGAAAGUGUUCUCCAGUACCAUAUUUGAAAAAUAUCAAUUUUCCAGAGCAGCUCUCACAGCCAUAUGUUACUACUUGGAAGACCAUUUUCCUUGACAAACUUCUACUGACAAUGAGACAUAUUUACCAUAUAUUUCCUUCCAAAAAGCAAGUGUCUCUCAAUUUUAUGGCUGCAACUACCUUCUGCAGAGAUCUUUGAGCUCAGGGAAGUAAAAUUAUCCCCUUUUCCACUUCUUACCCAUCUAUCUUCAAAGAAGUGGUUUGGCUAGAUAACAUAAUUUUAGUUUAUUUUUAAUGUUGAGCCACAAAGCAGCUAUUAUACUUUCUACAUUCACCUGCAUGAGCAGACUCUUCACCUCUUCCUCACAUUCAGCAGUUACAGCGGUAUCAUCUACAUAAUUGAGGUUGUUCAUUUUUCCUCCCAGUUAUAUUUAUUCCACUGUAUGAUUUUGUUUAACCCUGAAUUUUGCAUGACAUAUUCAGCAUACAACUCGAAUAACUAGGUCUUGCCUUGAUCCCUCCCCAGUCUUUAACCAGUGCAUUAUUCAAUAUUAAUUUCUAAUUAUUGAUUUGCAUUGUGCAACAAGAAAAUAUAUUACGUAAACUGAUUCAUUCUUCACAAUAAGGUUCUGCUAAAGUAGACAGGGUAGCCUAGAGCUAGACUGAUGCUAAACAUUGUCUAAUUAUGACACUAAAUUUAAAGACAGUCCUACCAUUGCGUUUUUUUUUUCAAUUACAUAAGG